UUGAUAGGAGCACCAGAGAGACAGCAGACAGUGAGAAGACAUGCAGCAAAAUGUCACGAGCGGGAGUCAAUCCCGGGCCGCUGUGUCGGAGACCAGCCACUAUACGUGGUUCACCUGCUUAACCCAUUGAGCAAUACAGCUUUAUUUGAUAGGAGCACCAGAGAGACAGCAGACAGUGAGAAGACAUGCAGCAAAAUGUCACGAGCGGGAGUCAAUCCCGGGCCGCUGUGUCGGAGACCAGCCACUAUACGUGGUUCACCUGCUUAACCCAUUGAGCAAUACAGGAGCGCCAGAGAGACAGGAGAUUGUGAGGAGAGAUGCAGCAAAUUGUCAUGAGAAGGAAUCGAUCCCAGGCCGCUGUGUCGGAGACCAGCCACUAUACAUGGUUCUCCUGCUUAACCCAUUGAGCUAUACAGCUUUAUUUGAUAGGAGCACCAGAGAGACAGCAGACAGUGAGAAGACAUGCAGCAAAAUGUCACGAGCGGGAGUCAAUCCCGGGCCGCUGUGUCGGAGACCAGCCACUAUACGUGGUUCACCUGCUUAACCCAUUGAGCAAUACAGCUUUAUUUGAUAGGAGCACCAGAGAGACAGCAGACAGUGAGAAGACAUGCAGCAAAAUGUCACGAGCGGGAGUCAAUCCCGGGCCGCUGUGUCGGAGACCAGCCACUAUACGUGGUUCACCUGCUUAACCCAUUGAGCAAUACAGCUUUAUUUGAUAGGAGCACCAGAGAGACAGGAGAUAGUGAGAAGAGUUGGGGGAAGACAUGCAGCAAAAUGUCACGAGCGGGAAUCGAUCCCAGGCCGCUGUGUCGGAGACCAGCCACUAUACGUGGUUCACCUGCUUAACCCAUUGAGUUAUACAGCUUUAUUGGAUAGGAGCGCAAGAGAGAGACAAGAAAUAGGGAGAAGACAUGCAGCAAGGGGUCACGAGCGGGAAUCGAACCCCAGCCGCUGCAUCAGAUACCAGCCCCUAUACAUGGCUCGCCUGCUUAACCCAUUGAACUAUACAGCUUUAUUUGAUAGGAGCGCCAGAGAGACAGGAGAUUGUGAGAAGAGAUGCAGCAAAAUGUCACAAACGGGAAUCGAUCCCGGGUCACUGUGUUGGAGACCAGCCACAAUAAGUGGUUUGCCUGCUUAACCCAUUGAGCUAUACAGGAGCCCUGUUGUUUCAUCCUUGUCAGAUGACAUACUAAACUAUGACGGAUUUGGUCAACUUUUUGGACGUCAGACUAAACUAUGACGUUUUUGGUCAUAUUUCGGACGACAUACUAAACUAUGACGUUUUUUGUCAUAUUUUGGACGACAUACUAAACUAUGACUUUUUUUUCAUAUUUUUGAUGACAUACUAAACUAUGACGUUUUUUGUCAUAUUUUGGACGACAUACUAAACUAUUAUGUCAUUUUUAACGACACACUAAACUAGAAAAGCACUCAGAGAAUGCAAUACUCCUCCAAAGCUGCUCAGUUGAUCCAUAUUUUCCAACGGAUGAAAUCUUUAAUAAAAAAUGACCUUGUGCUGACCACAGGCAUGUGUUAUGCAUGUGCACAUUAUGAAUGGCUAUCAAACUGCGUGUAAAUUACUCUUAUAAAUGUCUGUUGAUCAGUACAUCACUUUUGGCAAGACUUUGUUUUGCUUGUGUUACAACAACUGUUCCCUUCAUGCUAUUUUUUUUUCUGAAGUUGUAUUUUUAAUGUUACGGGCUCUUAUUUUGUCAACAUUCACAGGAAGUGCUUAUCUGAGAAGCAUUUUUUUGACAUGACGAAGACACUGCCGAAAAGUCUGAAAAGUCACGUAAAGAUGAAAGAAAACGAUUGAUGGGACUCAGAAACACCCCACAGUUUCAUUGAAUUUGUUCCUUGUAUGAUUUCCAACUGAUAAAUCAGUCAGUUUUAGUAGGAUUGCAAUCAUGCGAUCGUCAGCAGGUAACUGACACAGCGCUCACUUGUUGUCAUGGUUACAGCACCGUGCCAGCAGCUACAUCUCACAAUGGGACAUCCUUAACAAAGCCGUGGAUCCAGACUAUAAGCUGCAUCACUGUGAAAAUUUAAUGAGGUGGUCCUUGUGUCAUUUCUGACUUCCCCUGAAAGUUUUUGAGUAAUGUUUCACACAGACAGACAGACAGAUUCAAAGACAAAAGCAUGCCAAUCAUCACAUAACUACUUGGUUCCUUGGCGUAGUAAUGAUGGUAGGGGUAAAUGCCACCAGGUUUGGUCUCACCUCCUACAUUUUAUUUCAUAUGACCUGAUUAGUGCUCCAUAGUUAUUAUUAUCAUCUGUCAUUAUUCAAUCUAAAUGUUAACGUUAGCUGGUAAAUGGUUGUUUUGUGUUGGUGUGAUUGUUUCUGAACUGAAAAGUCAAUAAAAACUUUGAUUACAAA
This is a long non-coding RNA of Acanthochromis polyacanthus (spiny chromis), 2377 nucleotides long. RefSeq lists it as uncharacterized. The transcript is spliced from 8 exons. The record is from RefSeq and is a predicted model, not a curated record. Lineage: Eukaryota; Metazoa; Chordata; Actinopteri; Pomacentridae.